RNAcentral lists this ribosomal RNA (428 nucleotides) under uncultured bacterium. RNAcentral describes it as "bacterial SSU rRNA". It matches the Rfam family "Bacterial small subunit ribosomal RNA", at positions 355 to 775 of the family's 1533-position model. The record is from RNAcentral.
UGGGGAAUCUUGCGCAAUGCGCGAAAGCGUGACGCAGCAACGCCGCGUGGGGGAAGAAGGCCUUCGGGUUGUAAACCCCUUUCAGUUGGGACGAAGCUUCGUCGGUGAAUAGCCGGCUGGAGUGACGGUACCUUCACAAGAAGCCCCGGCUAACUACGUGCCAGCAGCCGCGGUAAUACAGAGGGUGCAAGCGUUGCUCGGAAUCAUUGGGCGUAAAGGGUUGGUAGGUGGUCUUAUUUGUCGGAGGUGAAAGCCUUGGGCUUAACCCAAGAAGUGCCUCCGAAACGGUGAGACUAGAGUUCUGGAGAGGCUAGGGGAAUUCCCGGUGUAGCGGUGAAAUGCGUAGAGAUCGGGAGGAACACCAGAGGCGAAGGCGCCUAGCUGGACAGAUACUGACACUCAACAACGAAAGCGUGGGGAGCAAACAG